AAGUCGUAACAAGGUUUCCGUAGGUGAACCUGCGGAAGGAUCAUUACAGAGUUCAUGCCCUCACGGGUAGAUCUCCCACCCUUGAAUAUUAUACCUUUGUUGCUUUGGCGGGCCCGCUCACGCCACCGGCUUCGGCUGGUGAGUGCCCGCCAGAGGACCCCAAACUCUGAAUUACAGUGUCGUCUGAGUACUAUAUAAUAGUUAAAACUUUCAACAACGGAUCUCUUGGUUCUGGCAUCGAUGAAGAACGCAGCGAAAUGCGAUAAGUAAUGUGAAUUGCAGAAUUCAGUGAAUCAUCGAAUCUUUGAACGCACAUUGCGCCCCUUGGUAUUCCGGGGGGCAUGCCUGUUCGAGCGUCAUUAUAACCCUCAAGCCUAGCUUGGUAUUGGGGCCUGCCUCCGGGCAGCCCUUAAAAUCAGUGGCGGUGCCGUCUGGCUCUAAGCGUAGUAAUUUCUCUCGCUAUAGCGUCCGGCGGUUGCUGGCCAAAACCCCCAAUUUUCUAUGGUUGACCUCGGAUCAGGUAGGGAUACCCGCUGAACUUAAGCAUAUCAAUAAGCGGAGGAAAAGAAACCAACAGGGAUUACCUCAGUAACGGCGAGUGACGCGGUAACAGCUCAAAUUUGAAAUCUGGCUCUUCUAGGGUCCGAGUUGUAAUUUGUAGAAGAUGCUUCGGGUGUGGCUCCGGUCUAAGUUCCUUGGAACAGGACGUCAUAGAGGGUGAGAAUCCCGUAUGUGACUGGUUGCCUUCGCCUAUGUGAAGCUCCUUCGACGAGUCGAGUUGUUUGGGAAUGCAGCUCUAAAUGGGUGGUAAAUUUCAUCUAAAGCUAAAUAUUGGCCAGAGACCGAUAGCGCACAAGUAGAGUGAUCGAAAGAUGAAAAGCACUUUGGAAAGAGAGCUAAACAGUACGUGAAAUUGUUGAAAGGGAAGCGCUUGCGACUAGACUUGCACGCAGUUGAUCAUCCGGUGUUCUCACCGGUGCACUCUGCUGCGUUCAGGCCAGCAUCGGUUUCGGUGGUUGGAUAAAGGCCUUGGGAAUGUGACUCCUCUCGGGGAGUGUUAUAGCCCUCGGUGCAAUGCAGCCUACCGGGACCGAGGACCGCGCUUCGGCUAGGAUGCUGGCGUAAUAGUCGUAAGCGAC
This 1139-nucleotide ribosomal RNA is filed under the name uncultured fungus. Its description in RNAcentral is "eukaryotic LSU rRNA". The stretch from base 507 to 1139 matches the Rfam family "Eukaryotic large subunit ribosomal RNA", at positions 1 to 648 of the family's 3401-position model. The record is from RNAcentral. Lineage: Eukaryota; Fungi.